This 434-nucleotide ribosomal RNA is filed under the name uncultured Blautia sp. RNAcentral's name for it is "bacterial SSU rRNA". It matches the Rfam family "Bacterial small subunit ribosomal RNA", at positions 341 to 792 of the family's 1533-position model. The record is from RNAcentral. Lineage: Bacteria; Bacillati; Bacillota; Clostridia; Lachnospirales; Lachnospiraceae.
ACGGAAGGCAGCAGUGGGGAAUAUUGCGCAAUGGGGGAAACCCUGAUGCAGCGACGCCGCGUGAAGGAAGAAGUAUCUCGGUAUGUAAACUUCUAUCAGCAGGGAAGACAAUGACGGUACCUGACUAAGAAGCCCCGGCUAACUACGUGCCAGCAGCCGCGGUAAUACGUAGGGGGCAAGCGUUAUCCGGAUUUACUGGGUGUAAAGGGAGCGUAGACGGCUGUGCAAGUCUGGAGUGAAAGGCGGGGGCUCAACCCCCGGACUGCUUUGGAAACUGUAUGGCUUGAGUGCCGGAGGGGUAAGCGGAAUUCCUAGUGUAGCGGUGAAAUGCGUAGAUAUUAGGAGGAACACCAGUGGCGAAGGCGGCUUACUGGACGGUAACUGACGUUGAGGCUCGAAAGCGUGGGGAGCAAACAGGAUUAGAUACCCUGGUA